RNAcentral lists this ribosomal RNA (305 nucleotides) under uncultured bacterium. RNAcentral's name for it is "bacterial SSU rRNA". It matches the Rfam family "Bacterial small subunit ribosomal RNA", at positions 335 to 637 of the family's 1533-position model. The record is from RNAcentral.
AAGCCUACGGGGCGCAGCAGUGAGGAAUAUUGGUCAAUGGGCGCAAGCCUGAACCAGCCAAGUCGCGUGAGGGAUGACGGUCCUAUGGAUUGUAAACCUCUUUUGUCGGGGAGCAAGGCCCGCCACGUGUGGCGGGAAGGAGAGUACCCGAAGAAAAAGCAUCGGCUAACUCCGUGCCAGCAGCCGCGGUAAUACGGAGGAUGCGAGCGUUAUCCGGAUUUAUUGGGUUUAAAGGGUGCGUAGGCGGAUUUUUAAGUCAGCGGUAAAAUGUCCGGGCUCAACCCGGGUCGGCCGUUGGAACUGGG